UAUCUCUGUAGAGUCUGCAUAUCAAUAAGCGGAGGAAAAGAAACUAACAAGGAUUCCCCUAGUAACGGCGAGUGAAGCGGGAAGAGCUCAAAUUUGAAAUCUUCAAGGUUUGACCUUGACGAAUUGUAGUUUAAAGAAGUGUUUUCGGUUAGAGGAGUAGUAAAAGUUCUUUGGAAUAGGACAUCAUAGAGGGUGAGAAUCCCGUAUUUGACUAUUCUUUCUAGCUUUGUGAUACACUUUCAAAGAGUCGGAUUGUUUGGGAAUGCAGUCCGAAAUGGGUGGUAAAUUUCAUCUAAAGCUAAAUAUUGGCGAGAGACCGAUAGCGAACAAGUACCGUGAGGGAAAGAUGAAAAGAACUUUGAAAAGAGAGUUAAAUAGUACGUGAAAUUGUCAAAAGGGAAGCGUUUGACACCAGUGUUGUUUUUCCGAAAAUCAAUUAAAAAUUGAUUCAUGCCAGGUUGUAUUGACCUUAUCAGCUUGCAAUUUGGUUUUGGGUCUCCUUUUGAUGCACUUUUCGGUUAACAAGUCAACAUCAAUUUCCUUUGCUGUAAAAAGGUAAGAGGAAGGGUGGCUUCAAUUUCGGUUGAAGUGUUUGUAGCCUUUUAUCUCUGCAGUCGGGGAGAUUGAGGUCUGCAGCGUAGAUCCUUCGGGGCUAGAUACAUUUAUGCUAAGUUAUAGCUUUUCAUAGACAACUUGUUGACUAUGUUUAGUCAUGUAGCUUACUCGUAAGUGCUAUUUUACCUACGCUUAGGAUGUUGAGCGCAUGUCUCUCUCU
Molecule: ribosomal RNA, 775 nt
Filed under: uncultured Neocallimastigales
Lineage: Eukaryota; Fungi; Neocallimastigomycota; Neocallimastigomycetes; Neocallimastigales
Description: partial large subunit ribosomal RNA
Rfam family: Eukaryotic large subunit ribosomal RNA
Source: RNAcentral